This 827-nucleotide small RNA is filed under the name Pongo abelii (Sumatran orangutan). Its description in RNAcentral is "processed transcript". Lineage: Eukaryota; Metazoa; Chordata; Mammalia; Primates; Hominidae. The record is from RNAcentral.
GGAGGCGCUGAGCAUGGCCCACGAGGUGGACCCAGAAGGGGACAGGACCAUCGGGAUCCUGACCAAACCAGAUCUAAUGGACAAGGGCACUGAGAAAAGUGUCAUGAAUGUGGUGCGGAACCUCACGUACCCCCUCAAGAAGGGCUACAUGAUCGUGAGGUGCCGGGGCCAGCAGGAGCUCACAAACAGGCUGAGCUUGGCAGAGGCAACCAAGAAAGAAAUUACAUUCUUUCAAACACAUCCAUAUUUCAGAGUUCUCCUGGAGGAGGGGUCAGCCACGGUUCCCCGACUGGCAGAAAGACUUACCAGUGAACUCAUCAUGCACAUCCAAAAAUCGCUCCCGUUGUUAGAAGAACAAAUAAGGGAGAGCCACCAGAAGGCGACCGAGGAGCUGCGGCGUUGCGGGGCCGACAUCCCCAGCCAGGAGGCCGACAAGAUGUUCUUUCUAAUUGAGAAAAUCAAGAUGUUUAAUCAGGACAUCGAAAAGUUAGUAGAAGGAGAAGAAGCUGUAAGGGAGAAUGAGACCCGUUUAUACAAUAAAAUCAGAGAGGAUUUUAAAAACUGGGUAGGCAUACUUGCAACUAACACCCAAAAAGUUAAAAAUAUUAUCCACGAAGAAGUUGAAAAAUAUGAAAAGCAGUAUCGAGGCAAGGAGCUUCUGGGAUUUGUCAACUACAAGACAUUUGAGUUCAUCGUGCAUCAGUACAUCCAGCAGCUGGUGGAGCCCGCCCUUAGCAUGCUCCAGAAAGCCGUGGGUGAGGACUUUCAAGCAGGACUCCCAAACCAUCACUCUCGUACCUUCCAUAGACCCCAGUGCCUUGGAGGGA